UUCACAUAAUUAGUGUAGUCCAAAUUUGCGAGUAUAUCGAAUCACGCUGGAAAAAAUGAGAGCAACAUAUAGUUUUCAAAUUCAAGUUUUAAUCAUGACUUACUCAAUUUCCCAAUCUGGAUUUGUUUAAGGCAGUUGAGUUGUGCGAUAUGCUAUGGAAUGAAGAAUAUAACAAGUUCGCACUACAUACUGGUGUCCUAAAUGUGCCCACAGCUCUAUACAAAUGUUUGCCGCCGGAAUGGAGUUUCCCGUUUCCAUAAAAGUUGAACUUUUCCAAACCAUCAUUAUAUUUUUAAAAAAUCUGAGUAGAUUUCGUUAGAGGAAGCCAAAAUUACGCAUUUCUGACAAGCCAUUCAAAAAAUUUGUUUUAUGCACCUUUGAUUAUUCAUCAUGCUGGGAAAAGAAUCAUGCAAGAAAAUUGUCUUGAAAUAUGAUAAAAGCGAGCCAAAAACGGUGUGUCUAUAAUCAAAGUAAUU
Molecule: non-coding RNA, 476 nt
Organism: Drosophila takahashii
Lineage: Eukaryota; Metazoa; Arthropoda; Insecta; Diptera; Drosophilidae
Source: RefSeq, a predicted model, not a curated record